This 236-nucleotide ribosomal RNA is filed under the name Symbiodinium sp. clade A. RNAcentral's name for it is "partial Bacterial large subunit ribosomal RNA". It matches the Rfam family "Bacterial large subunit ribosomal RNA", at positions 706 to 940 of the family's 2925-position model. Lineage: Eukaryota; Dinophyceae; Suessiales; Symbiodiniaceae. The record is from RNAcentral.
GGAGUAGACGCGAAACUUGGUGAUCUACCCAUGGCCAGGUUGAAGCUCCGGUAACACGGGGUGGAGGACCGAACCAGUUCACGUUGAAAAGUGUUUGGAUGAGCUGUGGGUAGGGGUGAAAGGCCAAUCAAACUGAGAAAUAGCUCGUACUCUCCGAAAUGUUUUUAGGAACAGCCUCGGAGGAUGUCUGUUAGAGGUAGAGCUACCAAUAGGACUAGGGGGAGUCAAAUCCUACC